UUUGGGGUGAAAAAAGCGGAUUUUGGGGUAAAAAUGCUGAUUUUUGAGGUGAAAAGUGCAGAUUUUGAGGUGAAAAGUGCAGGUUUUGAGGUGAAAAGUGCAGGUUUUGGGAUCUGAGGCAGAUUUUGUGGAGGGUGAGGAAAUCGUGAGGUAAAAAUGUUGAUUUUGAGAUAAAAAUGCAGAUUUUUGGGGUAAAAAUGCUGAUUUUUGAGGUGAAAAGUGCAGGUUUUGAGGUGAAAAGUGCAGGUUUUGGGAUCUGGGGCAGAUUUUGUGGAGGGUGAGGAAAUCGUGAGGUAAAAAUACAGAUUUUUGAGGUGAAAAUGCAGAUUUUGGGGUAAAAUUUCAGAUUUUGAGGUGAAAAGUGCCGGUUUUGAGGUAAAAAAUGUCGAUUUGGAGGUCGGGAGGAAAUCCUGAGAUUUUGAGGUGAAAAGUGCAAAUUCUGAGGGGAAAAGUGCAGGUUUUGAGGUGGAAAGUGCCGAUUUUGGGGUCUGGGGCAGAUUUUGUGGUGGGUGAGGAAAUCGUGAGGUAAAAAGUGCAGAUUUUGAUAUAAAAAUGCAGAUUUUUGAGGUGAAAAUGAAGAUUUUUGAGGUGAAAAUGAAGAUUUUUGAGGUGAAAAUGCAGAUUUUGGGGUAAAAAUUCAGAUUUUGAGGUGAAAAGUGCCGGUUUUGAGGUAAAAAAAGUCGAUUUGCAGGUCGGGAGGAAAUCCUGAAGUAAAAAUUGCAGAUUUUGAGGUGAAAAGUGCAGAUUUUAGGGUAGAAAUCCAGAUUUUGAGGUGAAAAGUUCAGAUUUUGGGGUAAAAAUGCUGAUUUUUGAGGUGAAAAGUGCAGGUUUUGAGGUGGAAAGUGCCGAUUUUGGGGUCUGGGGCAGAUUUUGUGGUGGGUGAGGAAAUCGUGAGGUAAAAAUGCAGAUUUUGAGAUAAAAAUGCAGAUUUUUGGGAUGAAAAUGCAGAUUUUGGGGUAAAAUUUCAGAUUUUGAGGUGAAAAGUGCAAAUUC
Non-coding RNA from Taeniopygia guttata (zebra finch), 993 nucleotides. Lineage: Eukaryota; Metazoa; Chordata; Aves; Passeriformes; Estrildidae. The record is from RefSeq and is a predicted model, not a curated record.